RNAcentral lists this long non-coding RNA (1530 nucleotides) under Oncorhynchus mykiss (rainbow trout). RNAcentral describes it as "lncRNA (ENSOMYG00000001854.2)". The record is from RNAcentral. Lineage: Eukaryota; Metazoa; Chordata; Actinopteri; Salmoniformes; Salmonidae.
AGCUUGUUGGCUGCGUCACCAUCGCUGCCUGGAUUGGUCACAGGAGGCCCUGGAGAAGGAGUGGCCUGAGGUCAAGCCCUAAAGCACCAGAGCCUGGUCAUGAUGGACCAUAAGAGAGCACUCACCAUUUCACUGGCCGUUGACAAGAUGGGAAGUCCACUAAAAAUUCCCAAGAUCCUUCUUUCUUCAGAGUUGAGAUGUGGGAAUGAAGAGUCACAGAUUCACUGGACCCAGAUUGCUGGAAAUGGAAUCAAACUCCAAAAGUCUUGUCAGCAGAAUGGAUCCAUCUCUUUGGAUCACGGCCAAGCGGCUUUAGCCCAAGCGGCAAUGAACUGCACGCAGCUCCAGUUGGUCCUCACGGACGUCCUGAAGACGGAACAGGGACAGGUCUACCUAGACAGGAAGAUGCGUGGCAAGAUGACAGGAACUGGAGAGAGGAAGAGAGAGUCACCGAUGGGGAGCGGGCAAAGGAGGGUGUCUCAGUGUAGCAGAGAGGGGAGGGAGGAUUGUAGAGAUUUUAUAGCACACACAAAGAGACCCCAUGACCACCCCACUCCCACCUCGACCCCGACCCGCAAGGAGAGGAGGUCACACCACAGAGGGGGGUCAGAGGAAGACGAGGAGGUGAAGGAACUUUUAAUAGGAGAGGAAAACAUCAAAGACCAGAGAUGCAACAGUAGUAUGUCAGGGAGGCAUAGUUCACAGGAACCCCUGGAGGAGGUGACCUUUACUGAGGGGGACAUGCACCAGGAAAAGACUUACCCACAAUCCACCAGGACUAGGAAGGCAGAUUCAGGUUCAAGCGAAUCCACACAUGUUGAGAGGGAGAGUUGGAGGAGGGAGUCUGGGCUCUACAGUAAUGGACAGGUGAAGGAUGGAGGGAUGAAUGAUGGAGUGGCAGAGGGCUUGACCACAGAUGCCUCCAGGAGCUCCAGAGGGAGCGUGCUGCGCCUCUCCAGGGAGGCCAGAGGCGGGGGAGGACUGCCCCCCAAACAGCUGUGUCUGGGGGGGACGGGGGGCAUAGACACUAAUGUAGCAUCCAUAGAAGUAGAGGUGGACCCCUCAAACUUUGAUGGGACCCCGAUGGUAGUCACUGUGGGGGAAGACAGGGAAGUUGCCAGCUCCUCUAACCCCAGCUGUGGAGGGGUUAAGGAGAGGAGAGGAACCCUGUCCUCCAGCCAGGAUAGGACGCCCAAACUCAGUCCUGUUGAACCCAUCGUUCUCUCCAGUGAUGAGGAGGUAGUCACCCCGUCCCACAGUUCAGUCCUCUGGCCUCAGACUAGUGAGUGUGAGUCCCAGAGAAACCAUGCUCAGGAAGACAACGUGGUGGAAGAGACAGACUUUCAGGUGAUGCCUGCGGUGGUGACAGGGUCUGGGGUGGCCAGUUUCCCCAGCACCGAGGACUCUGAGGGUAUGGCCCUACCCUUCUCUGCCCUGCACUGUGGGGGGGUCCGAGGGGAGUCCAGCGGAAACCUCAUGGUAAGGUUAUGCACACUGCUCCAACUGGAGAAUGGGUGCAGUACAUUCUAG